Cordylochernes scorpioides is the source of this 82-nucleotide non-coding RNA. The record is from the annotation of a GenBank genome assembly. NCBI's taxonomy places the organism in Eukaryota, Metazoa, Arthropoda, Arachnida, Pseudoscorpiones, Chernetidae.
UGUCCAAUGCGGGGAUCGAACCCGGGUCGUAGUGGUCGUAAACCAAACGGUUUAACCAGAACAUAAAACAAGGUAAUAAGAC